RNAcentral lists this ribosomal RNA (372 nucleotides) under uncultured organism. RNAcentral describes it as "partial 16S ribosomal RNA". It matches the Rfam family "Bacterial small subunit ribosomal RNA", at positions 527 to 896 of the family's 1533-position model. The record is from RNAcentral.
GUAGGGAGCAAGCGUUGUUCGGAAUUAUUGGGCGUAAAGAGCGCGUAGGCGGCCAGGUAAGUCUGGUGUGAAAUCCCACAGCUCAACUGUGGAACUGCAUUGGAAACUGCUUGGCUAGAGUGCGGGAGAGGAGAGUGGAAUUCCCAGUGUAGAGGUGAAAUUCGUAGAUAUUGGGAGGAACACCAGUGGCGAAGGCGGCUCUCUGGACCGCAACUGACGCUGAGGCGCGAAAGCUAGGGGAGCGAACGGGAUUAGAUACCCCGGUAGUCCUAGCCGUAAACGAUGGGCACUAGGUGUAGGAGGUAUCGACCCCUUCUGUGCCGUAGCUAACGCAUUAAGUGCCCCCCGCCUGGGAGUACGGUCGCAAGACUA